UCACAGACGACAUCCACAUGCACCUACUAACCUCUGUGACAAGGGAUGGGUUCCAUUUGGAGUCAACUGCUACUGGUUCUCGGAAGAGAGUUCCACCUUUAAAGGCACUCAGGGUAUAAAGGGGUGUGGCUUGGUAUAACGGACUUCCUCAUAGACGGAGUGUUUCUUUCUGUCUCUAUUGCAAGAAGAGUUUACUAUGCCUGUUGGAAAUCUGGGCAGCCUGACGGCAGACAACUGGAAAGCUGCGGGAUGUUUGAACCGGCGGAAGGAGCGUGGAGUAAACACAUCAGGUUGAUGCCAAAGAAUGGGACAUGGAGCGACACGUCAUGUGACGGGCAGUUAAAGUUUGUUUGUGAAAAGAAAGGAUCGCGGUGAUGGAGAUCUGUGUAUCGAAGAUAUUAAAGAGCAUUAAAAGUCGUUCUUGAAAUGACAUGGCGUUGUGUGGAUCAUUUAUACAAUUUUCAGUUAUUUAGUAGCAACUGUUAUUGGAAUACAUAUUCCGUAAUAA
Ostrea edulis (European flat oyster) is the source of this 508-nucleotide long non-coding RNA. RefSeq lists it as uncharacterized. NCBI's taxonomy places the organism in Eukaryota, Metazoa, Mollusca, Bivalvia, Ostreida, Ostreidae. The record is from RefSeq and is a predicted model, not a curated record. The transcript is spliced from 3 exons.